This 451-nucleotide ribosomal RNA is filed under the name uncultured bacterium. Its description in RNAcentral is "bacterial SSU rRNA". It matches the Rfam family "Bacterial small subunit ribosomal RNA", at positions 142 to 573 of the family's 1533-position model. The record is from RNAcentral.
UAUAACCCCGAGAAAUCGGGGCUAAUACCGGAUGUGACUAUUGGGGGGCCUCCUCUGACAGUCAAAGCUGGGGACCGCAAGGCCUGGCACUUCGCGAUGAGCCCGCGGCCUAUCAGGUAGUUGGCGGGGUAACGGCCCACCAAGCCUAAGACGGGUAGCUGGUCUGAGAGGACGACCAGCCACACUGGAACUGAGACACGGUCCAGACACCUACGGGUGGCAGCAGUCGAGAAUUUUUCACAAUGGGGGAAACCCUGAUGGAGCGACGCCGCGUGGGGGAUGAAUGGCUUCGGCCCGUAAACCCCUGUCAUUCGGGAUCAAAGCGUUUCACCUAACACGUGAGACGUUGAUAGUACCGGAAGAGGAAGGGACGGCUAACUCUGUGCCAGCAGCCGCGGUAAUACAGAGGUCCCAAGCGUUGUUCGGAAUCACUGGGCGUAAAGGGUGCGUA